CAGCCGCCGCGGGAAAACGAAGGGUGCAAGCGUUACUCGGAAUUACUGGGCGUAAAGCGUGCGUAGGUGGUGGUUUAAGUCCGUUGUGAAAGCCCUGGGCUCAACCUGGGAAUUGCAGUGGAUACUGGGUCACUAGAGUGUGGUAGAGGAUAGUGGAAUUUCCGGUGUAGCAGUGAAAUGCGUAGAGAUCGGAAGGAACAUCUGUGGCGAAGGCGACUAUCUGGGCCAACACUGACACUGAGGCACGAAAGCGUGGGGAGCAAACAGGAUUAGAUACCCCCGUAGUCCCUGUCUCUUAUAA
This 301-nucleotide ribosomal RNA is filed under the name uncultured bacterium. RNAcentral describes it as "partial 16S ribosomal RNA". It matches the Rfam family "Bacterial small subunit ribosomal RNA", at positions 509 to 809 of the family's 1533-position model. The record is from RNAcentral.